This is a non-coding RNA of Oncorhynchus mykiss (rainbow trout), 1256 nucleotides long. The record is from RefSeq and is a predicted model, not a curated record. NCBI's taxonomy places the organism in Eukaryota, Metazoa, Chordata, Actinopteri, Salmoniformes, Salmonidae.
AUAAACAAGCGUGUGUUCAUUCAGCCAUCUUUAUUCCUAACUGAACUUCCUUUGUCCCCUGAUGGCAGCAUAAUCAUCUCAUUACAGAAGACCAGGAUGUUUGACAGUCUAAAAAAAUCUAAUAACUGAAAUCACAGGAAUCUUGAAAUGGAAACAAGGUAGUGUCAUCUGGUAGAAGUGUCAUCUGUAGAGAACAGUUUAUUCCUCACCAAUUCAGGCACAUACUAAGACAACUCGUUUGACCAUUAUGAUUAAUAUGGGGUCUUUAGCAAGCACUUAAGAUGUCCCAAGUCCAAACUGAACCCUGGCCCCUUACUUAUGCCCUUGUUGAUGCCCCCACUAGAAUAUUUAAAUGGAUGGAUCAGUAUUUAAACAAAAACCUUGGAGUAAGGGCUAAUGAUCCGUUUGGAAUGGGGCCACCAGACUCAGCUCCACCACUGUCUUGACUAGUUCACAGCUUCAUGUCUUAUGAGAAUGUCAUAUCAUCAUACCAAACAAUAUCAUCACAGCUAGCACAGAACGUUCCCUAAAGGUUAUCUUUUGGUUGUUUGAAAUAACUUCCACAGUGUUCUGGGAACCAAUAUCUGUUAGCUGGGAUCACAUUUAAAUCCACACAGCCCGCGCAGCACAGCCGUGCAGGUUGAGCCCCUUUAGUACAGGGACACAGCCGUGCAGGUUGAGCCCCUUUAGUACAGGGACACAGCCCGCGCAGCACAGCCGUGCAGGUUGAGCCCCUUUAGUACAGGGACACAGCCGUGCAGGUUGAGCCCCUUUAGUACAGGGACACAGCCCGCGCAGCACAGCCGUGCAGGUUGAGCCCCUUUAGUACAGGGACACAGCCCGCGCAGCACAGCCGUGCAGGUUGAGCCCCUUUAGUACAGGGACACAGCCCGCGCAGCACAGCCGUGCUGGUUGAGCCUCUUUAGUACAGGGACACAGCCCACGCAGCACAGCCGUGCAGGUUGAGCCCCUUUAGUACAGGGACACAGCCCGCGCAGCACAGCCGUGCAGGUUGAGCCCCUUUAGUACAGGGACACAGCCCGCGCAGCACAGCCGUGCAGGUUGAGCCCCUUUAGUACAGGGACACAGCCGUGCAGGUUGAGCCCCUUUAGUACAGGGACACAGCCCGCGCAGCACAGCCGUGCAGGUUGAGCCCCUUUAGUACAGGGACACAGCCCGCACAGCACAGCCGUGCAGGUUGAGCCCCUUUAGUACAGGGACACAGCCCACGCAGCACAGCCGUGCAGGUUGAGCCC